CAAAAGCAUCAAGAGUUUGAGCCGACGCUCAAACGCCAACCUGCUCCCGAGCAAGGUGGCGCUUCCGCAAGGAGGGAUGUGGCCGGUCCGGCAACCAAACGGGACGAA
This 108-nucleotide non-coding RNA is filed under the name Phenylobacterium sp. Root1277. RNAcentral describes it as "SAM-I/IV (S-adenosyl methionine) riboswitch aptamer". It matches the Rfam family "SAM-I/IV (S-adenosyl methionine) riboswitch aptamer". From Rfam's summary of the family: It is found upstream of a number of genes which code for proteins involved in methionine or cysteine biosynthesis. RNAcentral also lists the same sequence under 1 other name. The record is from Rfam by way of RNAcentral. Lineage: Bacteria; Pseudomonadati; Pseudomonadota; Alphaproteobacteria; Caulobacterales; Caulobacteraceae.